UAACAAGUGAAGCAACUCUACAAGAGUUUGGAAAAAUAUUUCUCGAUUUGCUUAUCUAAUGACUCUGCAACUUCUUAGUUCGAUGAGAGCAUUUGAGAUUCGUUGGAGAUAGAUGUCCGUAGCAUCAGCAUAUCACAAUAUGUUGACAACCCUGUGCCAUCGCUCCAGCUAAUAAUACUUGCCCGAACUUACUCAUUUCUUUUUCCCUACGAAUUAGUUAGGGGAAAACUAAAAGGCUUUGUGGAAUUAAAGCUCUUAAUCUCAACAUACUCAAGGAAAGGAAAAAAAGAGAAAUGUCUGGCUUAAAAAGGAUGCAAUCCGAACUCCAUAAAUUACUUUAGCAAAUUACAAAUCUGUG
Drosophila nasuta is the source of this 358-nucleotide long non-coding RNA. RefSeq lists it as uncharacterized. NCBI's taxonomy places the organism in Eukaryota, Metazoa, Arthropoda, Insecta, Diptera, Drosophilidae. The record is from RefSeq and is a predicted model, not a curated record. The transcript has 3 exons.